RNAcentral lists this ribosomal RNA (509 nucleotides) under uncultured bacterium. RNAcentral describes it as "partial 16S ribosomal RNA". The record is from RNAcentral.
GGAGUUAGCCGGUGCUUCUUCUGUGAGUGAUGUCCUUCCUGCCGGCUAUUAACCCGCAGGCCUUCUUCCUCACUGAAAGUGCUUUACAACCCGAAGGCCUUCUUCACACACGCGGCAUGGCUGGAUCAGGGUUGCCCCCCAUUGUCCAAUAUUCCCCACUGCUGCCUCCCGUAGGAGUCUGGGCCGUGUCUCAGUCCCAGUGUGGCUGAUCAUCCUCUCAGACCAGCUACGGAUCGUCGCCUUGGUGAGCCGUUACCUCACCAACCAGCUAAUCCGACAUAGGCUCAUCCGAUAGCGCGAGGCCCGAAGGUCCCCCGCUUUCCCCCGUAGGGCGUAUGCGGUAUUAGCCCUGGGUUUCCCCAGGUUAUCCCCCACUACCGGGCAGAUUCCUAUGCAUUACUCACCCGUCCGCCGCUCGCCACCAGGGAGCAAGCUCCCCGUGCUGCCGCUCGACUUGCAUGUGUUAGGCCUGCCGCCAGCGUUCAAUCUGAGCCAGGAUCAAACUCUGA